This 266-nucleotide ribosomal RNA is filed under the name uncultured bacterium. RNAcentral describes it as "partial 16S ribosomal RNA". It matches the Rfam family "Bacterial small subunit ribosomal RNA", at positions 565 to 828 of the family's 1533-position model. The record is from RNAcentral.
GAGCACGUAGGUGGGUUUGUCGCGUCGCCUGUGAAAUUCCGGGGCUUAACUCCGGGCGUGCAGGCGAUACGGGCAUAACUUGAGUACUGUAGGGGUAACUGGAAUUCCUGGUGUAGCGGUGAAAUGCGCAGAUAUCAGGAGGAACACCGAUGGCGAAGGCAGGUUACUGGGCAGUUACUGACGCUGAGGAGCGAAAGCAUGGGUAGCGAACAGGAUUAGAUACCCUGGUAGUCCAUGCCGUAAACGGUGGGCACUAAGUAGAGGGG